Molecule: ribosomal RNA, 253 nt
Filed under: uncultured bacterium
Lineage: Bacteria
Description: partial 16S ribosomal RNA
Rfam family: Bacterial small subunit ribosomal RNA
Source: RNAcentral
UACGUAUGGAGCAAGCGUUAUCCGGAUUUACUGGGUGUAAAGGGAGCGUAGGCGGCUCUGUAAGUCUGAUGUGAAAAUUUGGGGCUCAACCCCAAACGUGCAUUGGAAACUGCAGGGCUUGAGUGCCGGAGAGGCAGGCGGAAUUCCUAGUGUAGCGGUGAAAUGCGUAGAUAUUAGGAGGAACGCCAGUGGCGAAGGCGGCCUGCUGGACGGUAACUGACGCUGAGGCUCGAAAGCGUGGGGAGCAAACAGG